Molecule: non-coding RNA, 27 nt
Filed under: Mus musculus (house mouse)
Lineage: Eukaryota; Metazoa; Chordata; Mammalia; Rodentia; Muridae
Source: RNAcentral
UCACAUGCCAAGCCUCAGCUGCUCUUU